Mytilus californianus (California mussel) is the source of this 322-nucleotide long non-coding RNA. RefSeq lists it as uncharacterized. The record is from RefSeq and is a predicted model, not a curated record. The transcript has 5 exons. Lineage: Eukaryota; Metazoa; Mollusca; Bivalvia; Mytilida; Mytilidae.
UUGCGGUAGUUGUUAUUCUCAUCAAAAUUAAAGCUCCAAGAACCAACAAUGGUGACCCGGAAGACAAAGCAUUGACAAGCAAAUGUUCGAAAAGUCAAGCUCCAAGAACCAACAAUGGUGAUCCGGAAGACAAAGCAUUGACAAGCAAAUGUUCGAAAAGUCAAGCUUCGUUUCCUCUGAUUGUAAGUCCCAACAAUGGUGACUCAGAUAACAUUAUGUUGACAAGCAAAUGUUCGAAGAGCCAAGUUUCGCAAGACGAUCAUGCAUGUCGGAAGCGUCGGAAAGAGAAUAGUUGCAGUUCAAUAAACUAAAGUGAAGAUUU